AACGCACGAGACCUGCGGACCUGCGGAGGGAUCAUUAAUGAGAAGCUGCCCCUCGUGGGUAGACCUCCCACCCUCUGUGAACUUACCUUUGUUGCUUUGGCAGGCCCGUCCUCUGGACCGCCGGCUUCGGCCGGCCCGUGCCUGCCAGAGGAUUCCAAACCCUGUCUGUCAGUGUUGUCUGAGUCUAUAUGAAAUCGUUAAAACUUUUAACAAUGGAUCUCUAGAUCGGAAGAGCACACG
Molecule: unclassified non-coding RNA, 240 nt
Filed under: soil metagenome
Description: partial contains 5.8S ribosomal RNA, internal transcribed spacer 2, and large subunit ribosomal RNA
Source: RNAcentral